Molecule: non-coding RNA, 46 nt
Filed under: Trichobilharzia regenti
Lineage: Eukaryota; Metazoa; Platyhelminthes; Trematoda; Strigeidida; Schistosomatidae
Source: RNAcentral
GUACUGCUGAAGAGCACCAGAAUAGGACGAAACAACUGUCCAGUAC